AGAGUUUGAUCAUGGCUCAGAUUGAACGCUGGCGGUAGGCCUAACACAUGCAAGUCGAACGGUAACGGACCGCUGGGAUUCCUUCGGGAUGACCUUGGUGCCGACGAGUGGCGGACGGGUGAGUAACACGUAGGAAUCUGCCAAACAGUGGGGGACAACCCGGAGAAAUCCGGGCUAAUACCGCAUACGCCCUACGGGGGAAAGCGGGGGACCUUCGGGCCUCGCGCUGUUUGAGGAGCCUGCGUCGGAUUAGCUUGUUGGUGAGGUAAAGGCUCACCAAGGCGACGAUCCGUAGCUGGUCUGAGAGGAUGAUCAGCCACACUGGGACUGAGACACGGCCCAGACUCCUACGGGAGGCAGCAGUGGGGAAUAUUGCACAACGGGCGAAAGCCUGAUGCAGCUAUACCGCGUGGGUGAAGAAGGCCUUAGGGUUGUAAAGCCCUUUCAGCAGGGAAGAAAGGUACGGAGUUAAUAGCUCCGUAAUUUGACGGUACCUGAAUAAGA
This 504-nucleotide ribosomal RNA is filed under the name uncultured bacterium. RNAcentral's name for it is "bacterial SSU rRNA". It matches the Rfam family "Bacterial small subunit ribosomal RNA", at positions 8 to 488 of the family's 1533-position model. The record is from RNAcentral.